RNAcentral lists this ribosomal RNA (826 nucleotides) under Castanediella sp. ML-2017. Its description in RNAcentral is "LSU rRNA". It matches the Rfam family "Eukaryotic large subunit ribosomal RNA", at positions 81 to 937 of the family's 3401-position model. The record is from RNAcentral. Lineage: Eukaryota; Fungi; Ascomycota; Sordariomycetes; Amphisphaeriales; Castanediellaceae.
UAGUAACGGCGAGUGAAGCGGCAACAGCUCAAAUUUGAAAUCUGGCCUUCUGGUCCGAAUUGUAAUUUGUAGAGGAUGCUUUUGGUGCGGUACCUUCCGAGUUCCCUGGAACGGGACGCCUUAGAGGGUGAGAGCCCCGUACGGUUGGAUACCAAACCUCUGUAUAGCUCCUUCGACGAGUCGAGUAGUUUGGGAAUGCUGCUCUAAAUGGGAGGUAAAUUUCUUCUAAAGCUAAAUACCGGCCAGAGACCGAUAGCGCACAAGUAGAGUGAUCGAAAGAUGAAAAGCACUUUGAAAAGAGGGUUAAAUAGCACGUGAAAUUGUUGAAAGGGAAGCGUUUAUGACCAGACUUUUUCCAGGCGGAUCAUCCGGUGUUCUCACCGGUGCACUUCGCCUGGUGGAGGCCAGCAUCGGUUUCCGUAGAGGGAUAAAAGCUUAAGGAAUGUGGCUCCCUCGGGAGUGUUAUAGCCUUCUGUAUAAUACCUUUAUGGGGACCGAGGUACGCGCAUUGCAAGGAUGCUGGCGUAAUGGUCAUCAACGACCCGUCUUGAAACACGGACCAAGGAGUCGAACAUUUAUGCGAGUGUUUGGGUGUUAAACCCUCACGCGUAAUGAAAGUGAACGGAGGUGAGAGCCGCAAGGUGCAUCAUCGACCGAUCCUGAUGUCUUCGGAUGGAUUUGAGUAAGAGCAUAACUGUUCGGACCCGAAAGAUGGUGAACUAUGCGUGGAUAGGGUGAAGCCAGAGGAAACUCUGGUGGAGGCUCGCAGCGGUUCUGACGUGCAAAUCGAUCGUCAAAUCUGCGCAUGGGGGCGAAAGACUAAUCG